This 65-nucleotide transfer RNA is filed under the name Hoplosaenidea subcostata. RNAcentral's name for it is "tRNA-Leu". It matches the Rfam family "tRNA". Rfam says of the family: Transfer RNA (tRNA) molecules are approximately 80 nucleotides in length. Their secondary structure includes four short double-helical elements and three loops (D, anti-codon, and T loops). The record is from RNAcentral. Lineage: Eukaryota; Metazoa; Arthropoda; Insecta; Coleoptera; Chrysomelidae.
UCUAAUAUGGCAGAUUAGUGCAAUGAAUUUAAAUUUCAAAUAUAAAGUUUAAACUUUUUUUAGAA